Molecule: ribosomal RNA, 155 nt
Filed under: uncultured bacterium
Lineage: Bacteria
Description: partial 16S ribosomal RNA
Rfam family: Bacterial small subunit ribosomal RNA
Source: RNAcentral
CCUACGGGAGGCAGCAGUAGGGAAUCUUCCGCAAUGGACGAAAGUCUGACGGAGCAACGCCGCGUGAGUGAUGAAGGUUUUCGGAUCGUAAAACUCUGUUGUUAGGGAAGAACAAGUACAAGAGUAACUGCUUGUACCUUGACGGUACCUACCAG